CACUAACACAUGCAAGUCGAACGGUGAACAUAAACUAGCUUGCUAGUUUGAUGACCAGUGGCGGACGGGUGAGUAAUGCUUGGGAAUUUGCCUUUAGGUGGGGGACAACAGUUGGAAACGACUGCGUAAUACCGCAUGAUAGCUACGGCUCAAAGGGGGCUUCGGCUCUCGCCUUUAGAGAAGCCCAAGUGGGAUUAGGUAGUUGGUGAGGUAAAGGCUCACCAAGCCGACGAUCCCUAGCUGGUCUGAGAGGAUGAUCAGCCACACUGGAACUGAGACACGGUCCAGACUCCUACGGGAGGCAGCAGUGGGGAAUAUUGCACAAUGGGCGCAAGCCUGAUGCAGCCAUGCCGCGUGUGUGAAGAAGGCCUUCGGGUUGUAAAGCACUUUCAGCGAGGAGGAAGGUUAAGUAGUUAAUACCUGCUUGAUUUGACGUUACUCGCAGAAGAAGCACCGGCUAACUCCGUGCCAGCAGCCGCGGUAAUACGGAGGGUGCGAGCGUUAAUCGGAAUUACUGGGCGUAAAGCGUACGCAGGCGGCUAAGUAAGUCAGAUGUGAAAGCCCCGGGCUCAACCUGGGAACUGCAUUUGAAACUGCUUAGCUAGAGUGCGACAGAGGGUGGUAGAAUUUCAGGUGUAGCGGUGAAAUGCCUAGAGCUCUGAAGGAAUACCAAUGGCGAAGGCAGCCACCUGGGUCGACACUGACGCUCAUGUACGCAAAGCCUGGCGUA
Molecule: ribosomal RNA, 730 nt
Filed under: Alteromonadaceae bacterium P630
Lineage: Bacteria; Pseudomonadati; Pseudomonadota; Gammaproteobacteria; Alteromonadales; Alteromonadaceae
Description: bacterial SSU rRNA
Rfam family: Bacterial small subunit ribosomal RNA
Source: RNAcentral